CCUACGGGUGGCAGCAGUGGGGAAUAUUGCACAAUGGGGGAAACCCUGAUGCAGCAACGCCGCGUGGGUGAAGGAGCGUUUCUGCGCGUAAAGCCCUGUUAGCGGGGAAGAAGAAUGACGGUACCCGACCACGAAGCCCCGGCUAACUACGUGCCAGCAGCCGCGGUAAUACGGAGGGGGCGAGCGUUGUCCGGAAUUACUGGGUGUAAAGGGAGCGUAGACGGGGAGGUAAGCCUGGAGUGGAAGGCCGCGGCCCAACCGCGGAACUGCUUGGGGAACUGUUUUGCUGGAGUAUGGGAGGGGUAAGCGGAAUUCUUGGUGUAGCGGUGAAAUGCGUAGAUAUCAGGAGGAACACCGGUGGCGAAGGCGGCUUACUGGACCAUAACUGACGUUGAGGCUCGAAAGCGUGGGGAGCGAACAGGAUUAGAUACCCGGGUAGUC
RNAcentral lists this ribosomal RNA (441 nucleotides) under uncultured bacterium. RNAcentral describes it as "partial 16S ribosomal RNA". It matches the Rfam family "Bacterial small subunit ribosomal RNA", at positions 338 to 795 of the family's 1533-position model. The record is from RNAcentral.